GACGAACGCUGGCGGCGUGCUUAACACAUGCAAGUCGAGCGGAAAGGCCACUUCGGUGGUACUCGAGCGGCGAACGGGUGAGUAACACGUGAGUAAUCUGCCCCUGGCUUUGGGAUAGCCACCGGAAACGGUGAUUAAUACCGGAUAUGACAUGGACUCGCAUGGGUUUGUGUGGAAAGUUUUUCGGCCAGGGAUGUGCUCGCGGCCUAUCAGCUUGAUGGUGAGGUAAUGGCUCACCAUGGCUUCGACGGGUAGCCGGCCUGAGAGGGUGACCGGUCACACUGGGACUGAGACACGGCCCAGACUCCUACGGGAGGCAGCAGUGGGAAUAUUGGACAAUGGGCGGAAGCCUGAUCCAGCAACGCCGCGUGAGGGAU
RNAcentral lists this ribosomal RNA (377 nucleotides) under uncultured bacterium. RNAcentral describes it as "bacterial SSU rRNA". It matches the Rfam family "Bacterial small subunit ribosomal RNA", at positions 28 to 409 of the family's 1533-position model. The record is from RNAcentral.